RNAcentral lists this ribosomal RNA (395 nucleotides) under uncultured bacterium. RNAcentral's name for it is "bacterial SSU rRNA". It matches the Rfam family "Bacterial small subunit ribosomal RNA", at positions 505 to 898 of the family's 1533-position model. The record is from RNAcentral.
GUGUCAGCAGCCGCGGUAAUACGUAGGGGGCAAGCGUUGUCCGGAAUCAUUGGGCGUAAAGCGCGUGUAGGCGGCCAUUUAAGUCUGCUGUGAAAGUCCAGGGCUCAACCCUGGGAUGUCAGUGGAUACUGGAUGGCUCGAGUCCGGAAGAGGAGUGUGGAAUUCCUGGUGUAGCGGUGAAAUGCGCAGAUAUCAGGAGGAACACCGAUGGCGAAGGCAGCACUCUGGGACGUGACUGACGCUGAGACGCGAAAGCGUGGGGAGCAAACAGGAUUAGAUACCCUGGUAGUCCACGCCGUAAACGAUGGGUACUAGGUGUGGGAGGUGUCGACUCCUCCCGUGCCGAAGCUAACGCAUUAAGUACCCCGCCUGGGGAGUACGGCCGCAAGGCUAAA